Molecule: long non-coding RNA, 639 nt
Organism: Daphnia carinata
Lineage: Eukaryota; Metazoa; Arthropoda; Branchiopoda; Diplostraca; Daphniidae
Exons: 2
Source: RefSeq, a predicted model, not a curated record
CAUCUUUGUUUUGUUUUUUUUAAAACAAAACACUGAAGGGGGGAGGGGGGACUAAAUUUGUGUGAAAUCAGAUCAUCAGUGACGUCACGUAAGAAUAUCAGCAACAAAUAGAGACGGAGAAAUGUGUGAAACCAACAUUUUCUUCCGUGAUACAUUUGAAUUUGGCCGACGCGUUUCGUGCGGGAUACAACAACGAAUUUGGUUGCUGUGUCUGUUGAACUGUCACUCAUUUCCAAAUGGUGCCAAAUGUUUUGGUUUUUGGGAAAUCUGAUGGGGAUCGUCCUUGGGCCUUUCCCUCUCAGUUCGCCGAAAUUCGUCGUCGAUGGUGUACAGAACACAGGAGCAAUGUCAAAUCGGAAAUGUCCAUAUUGUUAAUCCAAGGAUUCAAUUCAACACCUUCAUUAUCCUACCCUUUGAUUGUGCAUAUGUACAAUUCAAAAUGACCUCAAGAAUUAAAACGAAACUGUUUAUGGAUCUCCUGAAUGCCAUUGCCAAAAAGAAAUUUGGAUAUUUUUGGUUAUGAGGCCAAUUUUUUUAUCUUGUUUUCUCUCUCGCUCUCUUGAAAUUUGAAUAAACCCAAGUCCUUGAUAUAUGGCUUUCUUUACAAAAUCAGAGCUAAAUAAACUAGUUUUCGCGUUU